AGAGUUUGAUCCUGGCUCAGGAUGAACGCUGGCGGCGUGCCUAACACAUGCAAGUCGAACGAGGCGCUUUUCCCGAAUUUUCGGAGGAGGGGAGAGUGACUGAGUGGCGGACGGGUGAGUAACGCGUGGGGAACCUGCCCUGUACCGGGGGAUAACAGCCGGAAACGGCUGCUAAUACCGCAUAAGCGCACAGUGCCGCAUGGCACGGUGUGAAAAACCACGGUGGUACAGGAUGGCCCCGCGUCUGAUUAGUUGGUUGGCAGGGUAACGGCCUACCAAGACGGCGAUCAGUAGCCGGCCUGAGAGGGUGAACGGCCACACUGGGACUGAGACACGGCCCAGACUCCUGCGGGAGGCAGCAGUGGGGAAUAUUGCACAAUGGGGGAAACCCUGAUGCAGCGACGCCGCGUGAGCGAGGAAGUAUUUCGGUAUGUAAAGCUCUGUCAGCAGGGAAGAAGAAUGACGGUACCUGAAGAAGAAGCACCGGCUAAAUACGUGCCAGCAGCCGCGGUAAUACGUAUGGUGCAAGCGUUAUCCGGAUUUACUGGGUGUAAAGGGAGCGCAGGCGGUUCUGCAAGUCUGAUGUGAGAGCCCGGGGCUCAACCGCGGGACUGCAUUGGAAACUGCGGGACUGGAGUGUCGGAGGGGUAAGCGGAAUUCCUGGUGUAGCGGUGAAAUGCGUAGAUAUCAGGAGGAACACCGGUGGCGAAGGCGGCUUACUGGACGAUGACUGACGCUGAGGCUCGAAAGCGUGGGGAGCAAACAGGAUUAGAUACCCUGGUAGUCCACGCUGUAAACGAUGAUUACUAGGUGUGGGGGGACUGAACCCUUCCGUGCCGCAGUUAACACAAUAAGUAAUCCACCUGGGGAGUACGGCCGCAAGGCUGAAACUCAAAGGAAUUGACGGGGGCCCGCACAAGCAGUGGAGUAUGUGGUUUAAUUCGAAGCAACGCGAAGAACCUUACCAGGUCUUGACAUCUCCUGAAUAGCCUAGAGAUAGGUGAAGCCCUUCGGGGCAGGAAGACAGGUGGUGCAUGGUUGUCGUCAGCUCGUGUCGUGAGAUGUUGGGUUAAGUCCCGCAACGAGCGCAACCCUUGUUGUCAGUUGCUACGGAAGAGCACUCUGGCGAGACUGCCGUUGACAAAACGGAGGAAGGUGGGGAUGACGUCAAAUCAUCAUGCCCCUUAUGACCUGGGCUACACACGUACUACAAUGGCACUUAACAGAGGGAGGCGAAGGAGCGAUCCGGAGCGAACCCCCAAAAAGUGUCUCAGUUCAGAUUGCAGGCUGAAACUCGCCUGUAUGAAGUCGGAAUUGCUAGUAAUCGCAGAUCAGCAUGCUGCGGUGAUUACGUUCCCGGGCCUUGCACACACCGCCCGUCA
Molecule: ribosomal RNA, 1382 nt
Filed under: uncultured bacterium
Lineage: Bacteria
Description: bacterial SSU rRNA
Rfam family: Bacterial small subunit ribosomal RNA
Source: RNAcentral